RNAcentral lists this ribosomal RNA (253 nucleotides) under uncultured bacterium. RNAcentral describes it as "partial 16S ribosomal RNA". It matches the Rfam family "Bacterial small subunit ribosomal RNA", at positions 524 to 776 of the family's 1533-position model. The record is from RNAcentral.
UACGUAGGGUGCGAGCGUUAAUCGGAAUUACUGGGCGUAAAGCGUGCGCAGGCGGUUUUGUAAAUCAGAUGUGAAAUCCCCGGGCUUAACCUGGGAACUGCGUUUGAAACUACAAGGCUAGAGUGUGGCAGAGGGGGGUGGAAUUCCACGUGUAGCAGUGAAAUGCGUAGAGAUGUGGAGGAACACCGAUGGCGAAGGCAGCCCCCUGGGUUAACACUGACGCUCAGGCACGAAAGCGUGGGGAGCAAACAGG